Molecule: long non-coding RNA, 215 nt
Organism: Asparagus officinalis (garden asparagus)
Lineage: Eukaryota; Viridiplantae; Streptophyta; Magnoliopsida; Asparagales; Asparagaceae
Exons: 2
Source: RefSeq, a predicted model, not a curated record
AUGCAUCAGAAGUCAUGAUCCAACAACAUGCUAGAGCAUAUAUUUUGCACAUGAUCGGGACGCUUCUUUUUCCCGAUUCAAGUAAACAUAAAGUGCAUUUGAGGUGGUUACCACUUCUCGAAGACUUUGACGUGUGUGGGACAUUAUCCUGGGGUAGUGCUGUUUUAGCAUAUCUAUAUCGAGAAAUGUCAAAGGUUGCUUUAAUGCAAAAUAAA